This 207-nucleotide ribosomal RNA is filed under the name uncultured bacterium. RNAcentral describes it as "partial 16S ribosomal RNA". It matches the Rfam family "Bacterial small subunit ribosomal RNA", at positions 568 to 774 of the family's 1533-position model. The record is from RNAcentral.
CGCGUAGGCGGACCUUCAAGUCGGUAGUGAAAACUGGCAGCUUAACUGCCAGCCUGCUUUCGAUACUGUUGGUCUUGAGUACAGGAGAGGAAAGCGGAAUUCCAGGUGUAGCGGUGAAAUGCGUAGAUAUCUGGAAGAACACCAGUAGCGAAGGCGGCUUUCUGGACUGAUACUGACGCUAAAGCGCGAAGGCUAGGGUAGCAAACA